GUAAUACGUAGGGGGCGAGCGUUGCUCGGAUUUACUGGGCGUAAAGAGCGCGUAGGCGGCCAGGUAAGUCCGUUGUGAAAGCCCUCGGCUCAACCGAGGAUCCGCAUCGGAMACUACUUGGCUUGAGUCCAGGAGAGGAGGGUGGAAUUCCCGGUGUAGCGGUGAAAUGCGUAAUAUCGGGAGGAACACCGGUGGCGAAGGCGGCCCUCUGGAAUGGUACUGACGCUGAGGCGCGAAAGCUGGGGGAGCGAACGGGAUUAGAUACCCCGGUAGUCCCAGCCGUAAACGAUGGGCACUAGGUGUGGGAGGUAUUGACCCCUUCCGUGCCGCAGCUAACGCAUUAAGUGCCCCGCCUGGGGAGUACGGCCGCAAGGUUGAAACUCAAAGGAAUUGACGGGGGCCCGCACAAGCGGUGGAGCAUGUGGUUUAWUUCGACGCAWCGCGAAGAAACCUUACCAGGGCUUUGACAUGGCGGUAGUACCAAMCCUGAAAAGGGG
RNAcentral lists this ribosomal RNA (497 nucleotides) under uncultured bacterium. RNAcentral describes it as "bacterial SSU rRNA". It matches the Rfam family "Bacterial small subunit ribosomal RNA", at positions 520 to 1011 of the family's 1533-position model. The record is from RNAcentral.